RNAcentral lists this ribosomal RNA (822 nucleotides) under uncultured bacterium. Its description in RNAcentral is "bacterial SSU rRNA". It matches the Rfam family "Bacterial small subunit ribosomal RNA", at positions 8 to 805 of the family's 1533-position model. The record is from RNAcentral.
AGAGUUUGAUCCUGGCUCAGGACGAACGCUGGCGGCGUGCCUAAUACAUGCAAGUCGAACGCUCUUUUCUUAUCGAACUUCGGUUCACCGAGAAAAGGGAGUGGCGAACGGGUGAGUAACACGUGGGUAACCUACCCAUCAGCGGGGGAUAACACUUGGAAACAGGUGCUAAUACCGCAUAAUUCUUUUCUUCGCCUGAAGGGAAGAUGAAAGACGCUUUUGCGUCACUGAUGGAUGGACCCGCGCUGCAUUAGCUAGUUGGUGGGGUAACGGCUCACCAAGGCCACGAUGCAUAGCCGACCUGAGAGGGUGAUCGGCCACACUGGGACUGAGACACGGCCCAGACUCCUACGGGAGGCAGCAGUGGGGAAUAUUGCGCAAUGGGGGAAACCCUGACGCAGCGACGCCGCGUGAGCGAAGAAGGCCUUAGGGUCGUAAAGCUCUGUUUUAAGGGACGAAUAUCUUCAGUAGUAACUGACUGAGGAAUGACGGUACCUUAAGAGAAAGCCCCGGCUAACUACGUGCCAGCAGCCGCGGUAAGACGUAGGGGGCGAGCGUUGUCCGGAAUUACUGGGCGUAAAGAGCACGUAGGCGGGAUUUUAAGUCAGGUGUGAAAGACCGUGGCUCAACCACGGGGUUGCACAUGAAACUGGAAUUCUUGAGGGCAGGAGAGGAAAGUGGAAUUCCUGGUGUAGCGGUGAAAUGCGUAGAAAUCAGGAGGAACACCGGUGGCGAAGGCGACUUUCUGGACUGACCCUGACGCUGAGGUGCGAAAGCGUGGGUAGCAAACAGGAUUAGAUACCCUGGUAGUCCACGCUGUAA